Neocloeon triangulifer is the source of this 833-nucleotide long non-coding RNA. RefSeq lists it as uncharacterized. The record is from RefSeq and is a predicted model, not a curated record. Lineage: Eukaryota; Metazoa; Arthropoda; Insecta; Ephemeroptera; Baetidae. The transcript is spliced from 5 exons.
AUCUUUUGCAUCUAUAGCUACUCCGCAUUUCCGCAAGAUGAAAUUUACAGAAUUUAUUUAAAAUGAAAAUUUUUUAGACAAAAAUUUUCUUGGAGAAUAAGUGGAACCUGAAGGCUUGGGAACCGAGACUGCGUCAUUCUCAUUGGCACUAUGAUGAACACCUGAUGAAUUCUACGGCCGAGGUCGCGACUGGAAUGCAGACCUCAUUUCGAAUUCCUCGUGACUCAUGGACAAUUUUUGAAGUUAUUAAAUCCACAUGGAUGUUACAUGUUACUCGGUAUCUGGAGUUUAAGUCGAUGGAAGGUGUAGCCAUGUCUACAACAAACCCGGCAGAAUUUCAAAAGUCUCUGUGGACAAAAAUGAAGCCUUUUCGUCAGUGGCAGUCACUGGAUUGAAGGACCCUGCAAAGCUGAACCAAAAUUUAACCCUGGGCCAGAGGGACUGUUUUGAAGAGAUCCAUCAUUCAGGCGGGCAAUUAACCUGCCAUCAUCAGCAAGCGGCCCUGGAAAGAUUUUCGCCCUGGUCAAGACCAGUCAGCGUUGACCUUCUCUCAGGUGUGAUGCUUCUGAUCCAAGAAAACCCUGUCAGCAAUGCGAAGCACUUCAGAAAGGCGGUGAUUGGUAAAUUGGGCAAACGGAGGCCUGCCCUGGAUCAUUUUCCCCUCUCUCCACUUAAUCAAAAGACGCUGCAACCUGGUCAACGGAGACGCUGAGCGGAUUGCCUACCCACACUACUUUGCCUGCGACGAAACAAAAAGCGGCAAGGAGAGCUCACGGCUGGCUUGCUCGCGUUUCUCAAAGAGCGGCGACGUAAUUCUCCUGGCAUUCCUUGAC